CGCGAGUAUGCUCACAAUGCUUCAUGUUAGUAACUCACUUAACGAUAUAAAUCAAGUGAUCAAUCCAACAAAUAAUGAUGAAGAUUUUCUUUUUAAUUCUCAUAAUAGCAUUUCUUGCUACUGAAUUGCAUGCAGGGUGCCAAGGUGGGGGUCAAGAUUGUAACAAAAUUUUUAAUUCUUGUUGCGAUCCUUGGUAUUGCACUAAUUGGUUUGGAAAGGGAAGGUGUGUCUCAUAGUAACCAGUAACAUGAAGUCUGUAUGCAGAUGCUAACGGUCUUGCGGACAUUUACAGUAUAAUGCAAGAAAGAGAAGUCGCAGAAAAUAAAUAAUCAACGAAUGUAAAUUUUAUUAAAUAGCCUUUAAUAUCCAUUAAUAGUUGUUUUUUUUAAAUUAUUGUACAAAAUUUUAAUUAUUUUCUUUUCAAAAACUAAGUACCUCACAUUCAUAUCAGUUGAGAUUAAAUGUAACUAAAUUACA
Long non-coding RNA from Microplitis mediator, 477 nucleotides. RefSeq lists it as uncharacterized. Lineage: Eukaryota; Metazoa; Arthropoda; Insecta; Hymenoptera; Braconidae. The record is from RefSeq and is a predicted model, not a curated record. The transcript is spliced from 3 exons.